This 600-nucleotide ribosomal RNA is filed under the name uncultured bacterium. RNAcentral's name for it is "bacterial SSU rRNA". It matches the Rfam family "Bacterial small subunit ribosomal RNA", at positions 89 to 684 of the family's 1533-position model. The record is from RNAcentral.
UUGAGAGCGGUGUACGGGUGCGGAACAUGNUGCACUGCCUUUGAUCUGGGGGAUAGUCUUUCGAAAGGAAGAUUAAUACCCCAUAAUAUGUUGAAUGGCAUCAUUCGACAUUGUAAAACUCCGGUGGAUAGAGAUGGGCACGCGCNAGAUUAGAUUAUUGGUGAGGUAACGGUCACCAAGUCUACGAUCUUUAGGGGGCCUGAGAGGGUGAUCCCGCCACUAGUGGUACUUGAGACNCUGUANCCAGAUUCUAUACGGGAGGCAGCAUGUGAGGAAUAUUGGACAAUGGGUGAGAGCCUGAUCCAGCCUAUCCCGCGUGAAGGACGACUGCCCUAUGGGUUGUAAACUUCUUUGUAUAGGGAUAAACCUACCCUCGUGAGGGUAGCUGAAGGUACUAUACGAAUAAGGCACCGGUUAACUCCGUGCCAGCAGCCGCGGUUAAUACGGAGGGUGCAAGCGUUAUCCGGAUUUAUGGGGUUUAAAAGGGUCCCGUAGGCGGAUCUGGUAAAGUCAGUGGUGAAAUCUCNACAAGGUUUAAGCUGUGGAAACUUGGCCAUUUGGAUUANCUGAAGGUUCUUGAGUUGGUUGUUGAAGUAUUGG